Non-coding RNA from Misgurnus anguillicaudatus (oriental weatherfish), 530 nucleotides. The record is from RefSeq and is a predicted model, not a curated record. Lineage: Eukaryota; Metazoa; Chordata; Actinopteri; Cypriniformes; Cobitidae.
UGUCCCACAGCAUUGGUUAUUUUCACUUAAAUUUUUAGCGUGUUUCUGGGUGGAGUGUGUCAAUUAACGACGGAAGGAAGUUGUAUUUAAGAGGGGCAUGUCGUACCUGAAUCAGAGGCGUCAUCCGUUUGUCUACACAGGAAGUUUGCGUAUGAGUGAUGUUAUGGUGGAAAGACGGCUGCGUGUCAAUCAGAUGUUUCGUGUGUAUGUCUGUUGUGUUACUGAAACGUGGCACUUCCAGACCAACUGUCGCGUGCUGUUCUGAAGACAAGGAAAACACCGCUUAUCCACCAAUCUUGGGGUCGGCUGACCCCGAUUCUCAUUUUUGCCUUAAAGAACCUGCAAACGUGCGUGACGCGGUCGGUUUCUGGCACAGGGCUCGGAACGUGAUGACCAGAGACCGCUAGUGGGAACUCCAUUUUCUUAUUUUGGGUUUAUAUAUAUUUGUUUUUUUUUUGUCUGUUAUCCAUUUCGUUUUCUGUGUGACUAUAAUGAUGAACUUAUGGAAGAAUAAAUAUCCCUUGUGAAAU